Molecule: ribosomal RNA, 484 nt
Filed under: uncultured bacterium
Lineage: Bacteria
Description: partial 16S ribosomal RNA
Rfam family: Bacterial small subunit ribosomal RNA
Source: RNAcentral
AUUGAACGCUGGCGGCAGGCCUAACACAUGCAAGUCGAGCGGAUGAAGGGAGCUUGCUCCUGGAUUCAGCGGCGGACGGGUGAGUAAUGCCUAGGAAUCUGCCUGGUAGUGGGGGAUAACGCCCGGAAACGGGCGCUAAUACCGCAUACGUCCUGAGGGAGAAAGUGGGGGAUCUUCGGACCUCACGCUAUCAGAUGAGCCUAGGUCGGAUUAGCUAGUUGGUGGGGUAAAGGCCUACCAAGGCGACGAUCCGUAACUGGUCUGAGAGGAUGAUCAGUCACACUGGAACUGAGACACGGUCCAGACUCCUACGGGAGGCAGCAGUGGGGAAUAUUGGACAAUGGGCGAAAGCCUGAUCCAGCCAUGCCGCGUGUGUGAAGAAGGUCUUCGGAUUGUAAAGCACUUUAAGUUGGGAGGAAGGGCAGUAAGUUAAUACCUUGCUGUUUUGACGUUACCAGCAGAAUAAGCACCGGCUAACUUCGUG